UCUGGUCCUGUCAUUGUCGAGGUUGGUCCUGUCAGUCAGCGAUGGUCAUGUCACGUUUAAACUUUCUAUAUUUUUUAUAACAUUUAUUUUUCAAAAUAUGACAUAUUAUUUUAUAUUUCAAAUCUGAGAGAAUUCCUUUGAAAAAUAAAAAAAGUUAUUAGCAUUUUACUUUGGUCCUGUCAUUGUCGAUGUUGGUCAUGUCAUUAUCAGAGUUGGUCAUGUCACGUUUUCUAAAGUUUCUUACAAUUUUUUUUUAUUUUUUUUUCUUAAAUCUAUUUAUCAAAUGAUGAAAUCUUGUUAUAUAUCAAAUUUCAGAAAAAUAUUUUGAGAAAUAAAAGAGAAAUUAGCAAUUUCAUCUGGUCCAGUCAUUGUCGAGGUUGGUCUUGUCAAUCAGCGAUGGUCAUG
This 405-nucleotide long non-coding RNA is filed under the name Mytilus galloprovincialis (Mediterranean mussel). The record is from RNAcentral. Lineage: Eukaryota; Metazoa; Mollusca; Bivalvia; Mytilida; Mytilidae.